This 429-nucleotide ribosomal RNA is filed under the name Chloroflexota bacterium. RNAcentral describes it as "Chloroflexi bacterium partial 16S ribosomal RNA". It matches the Rfam family "Bacterial small subunit ribosomal RNA", at positions 355 to 776 of the family's 1533-position model. Lineage: Bacteria; Bacillati; Chloroflexota. The record is from RNAcentral.
UGGGGAAUAUUGCACAAUGGGCGCAAGCCUGAUGCAGCCAUGCCGCGUGUAUGAAGAAGGCCUUCGGGUUGUAAAGUACUUUCAGUCAGGAGGAAGGUGUCAAGGUUAAUAACCUUGGCAAUUGACGUUACCGACAGAAGAAGCACCGGCUAACUCCGUGCCAGCAGCCGCGGUAAUACGGAGGGUGCAAGCGUUAAUCGGAAUUACUGGGCGUAAAGCGCACGCAGGCGGUUGAUUGAGUCAGAUGUGAAAUCCCCGGGCUUAACCCGGGAAUUGCAUCUGAUACUGGUCAGCUAGAGUCUUGUAGAGGGGGGUAGAAUUCCAUGGGUAGCGGUGAAAUGCGUAGAGAUGUGGAGGAAUACCGGUGGCGAAGGCGGCCCCCUGGACAAAGACUGACGCUCAGGUGCGAAAGCGUGGGGAGCAAACAGG